This is a long non-coding RNA of Musa acuminata AAA Group (dessert banana), 854 nucleotides long. RefSeq lists it as uncharacterized. Lineage: Eukaryota; Viridiplantae; Streptophyta; Magnoliopsida; Zingiberales; Musaceae. The transcript is spliced from 4 exons. The record is from RefSeq and is a predicted model, not a curated record.
GGCAUUGUCGCGUACCGCCUCCGCCCCCACCCCUCGGCCGACGCUGCGUAGCGAUCGACAUGCGAUCGACCAUUCCAGUGUCGAUCGCCUCGAAGAUGAAGUGGGAGCCGUUCAAGGGUUCCGGUGCCAUCUCUGUCGGCUCGUGAAUUCCUCUUCCCCUCUCCUCUCUCUCCCUGCCUCAUUGUUCCUCACUUUCUUUAGGGUUUUCUCCUCGCCCGGCGCUUCGCAUCGAUCGAUCAUUCCGACGCCGGCCGCCUCAACGAUGAAGUGGGAGCCGUCCAAGGUUCCGGUGUCACCCUGUCAGCUCUAUGGAGCUUUCGUGCCCUAAGAGCUAUCUCGUGGUCGCUUCGGUCGAUCCUGAGCCAUGGACCUCCGUGGACGAUCUCGUGUUCGGGCUCAAAGCCCAAGAGUCACAGCUCGGAUAUAAUUCUCCACCGGUGCCUCUCAAGCAACCCCCUGAAUGGUCUCUCCUCGACAAAAGGCAAUGGAUGUGAGAGACAAAACGAGGCUGGGAGGGAGCACGGCGGCUGGCUGGAGGAUCUCCUGCCCUGAUUUUGAUUUCAGGGACGAAUCUUGACUUGCAAGUCAAGGGUUGAAGGACUCGGUCUACUGUGUGCAUUCUUUCCACCAACGUGUGGAAAACUCGGCAUAUCCGGCUAGUUCACGCCAUGGAUUAGCCAAUGGAGACGAACAGGGACUUGAUCUCCAAAUUCCAUGUUUCUGGUUUUCUUACAUCCACUUACCAUUUGCUCGGGGAUGUCAAGUGGAUGAGAAUUUGAAUGGUUGUUGGUUCUUAGAUAGAUAUACAGGCACAUGGCAGUUUAAAAGACUAAUAUAAACAUGUCCUUGUCAUA